UGAAAGCAGCUCCAUGUUAGAGGAGCAGGGCUUUAGUUCCUGUGGGAUUGGUCACACUCAGCUCGUCCUGUGUCAGUCACAGGUUUGGAAGAAACCCCGCUGUGUAGCUAAAGCAGUGGACCUACUAGAAAUAAUGAAAUACUUUAGAAAAGGCGAAACAGUCAGAUCAGAAUAUGAGAAAGCUCUGCUGUUGGCUGCACUGUUCCUUAGAUGAGGCGAGUAGGUGCUGAUGGAGUCUGUCCUGUGUCUGGGAUCCACAAGCAGCUUUCUGUCCCCUUAGAGCAGGUGUUCAUUGCUGGGUUUCUGUGCAGAUAGAAACCUUACCUUUAGCAAGCUGCUGUGCUGUGUGUGCCUGCAGGUAAGAAAAGCUGGGAGUGCAGUCCCUCUGCUUUGAUUGCUGUGUCCCUUUGGUAGUGAUUUUGGAGGGGAAUCCCAGAGCCAUUUGGUUUGAAGGGGACCUUCAAAGGCCAGCCUGUCUUCCGUGGGCAGGGACACCUUCCACUGUCCCCGGUUGCUCCGAGUCCCGUCCAGCCUGGCCUGGAACACGUGCAGGGAUGGGGCAGGCUCAGCUUCCCUGUGCAGUGUGCUCUAAUAUCUCUCCACUGGCAUCCUGAAAAAUGUUGUCAGCGUGUUUUGUUGGCCGACGGUAAGCAGGACCUGGGUGAAAAGGACAUUCUCUGAGGUGCUGGGAGAAGGAGGACUCGUGCGGGCACCUCCAGAGACAGCGGGAACGGGAGCGUGCUGCGGAGAAGGAAAAUUCCAGGGGAAUUGCCACGAGAGGAAAUACCUCAGAGGGGCUUCCCUCCAGAUAAGCCCUGAAUAUGCCAGGAGGUUUCAGCCGGGAGGAAAGGAGCUGUGGAAGAAAAGCAGCCUAAAAAUAGCCAGCGGGGAUCAUCAGGUUUUCCAGCCAAGAAGAACAAGGAGAGAGAUGAGGGAAUCGGGUUCCAAUUCCUAAUGAUUUGGUGGGUGCAGGAAUGAUUUGUGUGUGUUUUCCAGUCCCUUUUGAUUCCUGAGAUGAUUUGAAAAUGAUGGCUUUAGCAAUCAACUAAAUCGGAGGUGUUGUUUUUGAGAGGAAAUGAUGCCAAAUAAAUGCAGAGUUUUGGGUCAGUUUUUGGGAUGAUUUGAGUCAGUUUUUGGGGUCAGUUUGGGGUCAUUGUUUGGGGUGAUUUGGGUCAGUUUUGGGUCAGCUUUUGGGGUGAUUGGGGUCAGUUUUGGGUCAGCUUUUGGGAUGAUUUGGGUCAGGUUUUGGGGUCAGUUUUGGGUCAGCUUUUGGGGUGAUUUGGGUCGGUUUGGGGUCAAUUUUUGGGGAGCACUGGGUGUUACUGGGGGUUGUUGGGGAGCACUGGGUGUUUACUGGGGAGCACUGGG
Long non-coding RNA from Pseudopipra pipra, 1368 nucleotides. RefSeq lists it as uncharacterized. The record is from RefSeq and is a predicted model, not a curated record. The transcript is spliced from 2 exons. Lineage: Eukaryota; Metazoa; Chordata; Aves; Passeriformes; Pipridae.